GGAUGAACGCUGGCGGCGUGCCUAAUACAUGCAAGUCGAGCGAACAGAUAAGGAGCUUGCUCCUUUGACGUUAGCGGCGGACGGGUGAGUAACACGUGGAUAACCUACCUAUAAGACUGGGAUAACUUCGGGAAACCGGAGCUAAUACCGGAUAACAUAUUGAACCGCAUGGUUCAAUAGUGAAAGGCGGCUUUGCUGUCACUUAUAGAUGGAUCCGCGCCGUAUUAGCUAGUUGGUAAGGUAACGGCUUACCAAGGCAACGAUACGUAGCCGACCUGAGAGGGUGAUCGGCCACACUGGAACUGAGACACGGUCCAGACUCCUACGGGAGGCAGCAGUAGGGAAUCUUCCGCAAUGGGCGAAAGCCUGACGGAGCAACGCCGCGUGAGUGAUGAAGGUCUUCGGAUCGUAAAACUCUGUUAUCAGGGAAGAACAAAUGUGUAAGUAACUGUGCACAUCUUGACGGUACCUUAUCAGAAAGCCACGGCUAACUACGUG
This 498-nucleotide ribosomal RNA is filed under the name uncultured bacterium. Its description in RNAcentral is "partial 16S ribosomal RNA". It matches the Rfam family "Bacterial small subunit ribosomal RNA", at positions 27 to 507 of the family's 1533-position model. The record is from RNAcentral.